RNAcentral lists this ribosomal RNA (301 nucleotides) under uncultured bacterium. RNAcentral's name for it is "partial 16S ribosomal RNA". It matches the Rfam family "Bacterial small subunit ribosomal RNA", at positions 509 to 809 of the family's 1533-position model. The record is from RNAcentral.
CAGUCGCCACGGUAAUACAGAGGGUGCGAGCGUUAAUCGGAUUUACUGGGCGUAAAGCGUGCGUAGGCGGCUUCUUAAGUCGGAUGUGAAAUCCCUGAGCUUAACUUAGGAAUUGCAUUCGAUACUGGGAAGCUAGAGUAUGGGAGAGGAUGGUAGAAUUCCAGGUGUAGCGGUGAAAUGCGUAGAGAUCUGGAGGAAUACCGAUGGCGAAGGCAGCCAUCUGGCCUAAUACUGACGCUGAGGUACGAAAGCAUGGGGAGCAAACAGGAUUAGAGACCCGAGUAGUCCCUGUCUCUUAUAA